AAGUCGUAACAAGGUUUCCGUAGGUGAACCUGCGGAAGGAUCAUUAAUGAACUUGUGGUUGUUGCUGGCUAGUGUCUCUAGCAUGUGCACACGCACCUUCAUCCCAUUUACACCUGUGCACCUUUUGUAGUAGUGUUUUGAAAGGGGGGAGUUAACUCUCUCUUCUGGAUCUCCUACUACGUUUUUUACACACACACACAAAUAAUCAUUGAAUGUCAUUUGAUUUUAUAUUGAAAAAACAACUUUCAACAACGGAUCUCUUGGCUCUC
RNAcentral lists this unclassified non-coding RNA (269 nucleotides) under Waitea circinata. RNAcentral describes it as "partial internal transcribed spacer region". The stretch from base 1 to 46 matches the Rfam family "Eukaryotic small subunit ribosomal RNA", at positions 1786 to 1831 of the family's 1831-position model. The record is from RNAcentral. Lineage: Eukaryota; Fungi; Basidiomycota; Agaricomycetes; Corticiales; Corticiaceae.